Molecule: ribosomal RNA, 599 nt
Filed under: Cercyon analis
Lineage: Eukaryota; Metazoa; Arthropoda; Insecta; Coleoptera; Hydrophilidae
Description: eukaryotic LSU rRNA
Rfam family: Eukaryotic large subunit ribosomal RNA
Source: RNAcentral
GGAGUCUAGCAUGUUCGCAAGUCAUUGGGAACGACUAAACCUAAAGGCGAAAUGAAAGUGAAGCCCGGCCUUGCGCCGGGCGAGGGAGGAUGGGCCGUGUCACGAUACGGCCCCGCACUCCCGGGGCGUCUCGUACUCAUUGCGAGUUGAGGCGCACCCAGAGCGUACACGCUGGGACCCGAAAGAUGGUGAACUAUGCCUGGUCAGGACGAAGUCAGGGGAAACCCUGAUGGAGGUCCGUAGCGAUUCUGACGUGCAAAUCGAUCGUCGGAACUGGGUAUAGGGGCGAAAGACUAAUCGAACCAUCUAGUAGCUGGUUCCCUCCGAAGUUUCCCUCAGGAUAGCUGGCGCUCGUUGAGCGAGUCUCAUCCGGUAAAGCGAAUGAUUAGAGGCAUUGGGGUCAAAACGGCCUCAACCUAUUCUCAAACUUUAAAUGGGUGAGAUCUCCGGCUUGCUCGAACGUGAAGCCGCGAGAUUUUCAUCGGAUCAGAGUGCCAAGUGGGCCAUUUUUGGUAAGCAGAACUGGCGCUGUGGGAUGAACCAAACGCAGAGUUAAAGCGCCAAAAUCGACGCUUAUGGGAUACCAUAAAGGCAAUCGG